Molecule: unclassified non-coding RNA, 263 nt
Filed under: plant metagenome
Description: partial contains small subunit ribosomal RNA, internal transcribed spacer 1, and 5.8S ribosomal RNA
Source: RNAcentral
UUUCCGUAGGUGAACCUGCGGAAGGAUCAUUAUUGUAUAACCGAGGUGCGAGGGCUGUCGCUGACCCGAAAGGUCGUGCACGCCCGAGUGCCCUCACACACAUCCAUCUCGCCCCUAAGUGCACCACCGCGUGGGUCCCCCUUUGGCUUGUUCGGAGGGGGGCUUACGUUUUCACACAAACUUUGUAUGCAGUGUAGAAUGUAUUUUUUGUUUUUGCGAUCACGCAAUCAAUACAACUUUCAACAACGGAUCUCUUGGCUCUC